CCUGACUUGAUUUUUAGUUGUUUGUCCCCUAGAGUCAAAGUAUGCAUUCACCUUGAGAACUUCCUCUUUGUUUCCAAAUGCAAUAACUUCAGUUUUUUCCUUGUUUAACUGAAGAAUGUUCUGGCAAAUCCAGCUGCUAAUUUCAUCAAUGCAUUGGCAGAGGGAGUCAAUGGGGCUGUAGUCGUUUGACAAUAAGGCUAAGUAAAUCUGUGUAUCAUCAGCAUAGAUGUGAUAGGCAAUUUGGUUCUUUAUCAUUAUAGCAUCAAAUUCCUAGCUAAAAUCAAACUUAUUACAAAAAUUAACAAUUGAACAUAUAUCAGCGUGAAAAAAACUACCAUAAAUGACCAAAACCAUAUUUCGGAAAAUUGUAUUGGAAGUAUAUAUUUUUUUUAUUAUUUUGACUCAAGUCCCAUUCGUUUACAUGGAGAGGGCGGGGUUUAUGAGCUGUACUGCAGCCAGCCACCAGAGGGCGAUCAAAGAGCCCACAGCUGCACUUUUUAGGACGUGUGAGGCACACCCGAUCAGAACAGUUCAAAGCACUCUGGGGAAAGAACACAAGCGAGUGCUGAAGCUCAGGUUGUGAGAAAAGCCGAACUUUAAUUCACACAGCAUCUGAAGUUAAGCCGACAUGAGCGCUGACGUCAUGUUUGCGCUGAGAUUGAAACUAAAACUUUUGAAGAAACCAGAGGCUCACAGGAGACGCUGUGAAGAGGACUGAAACAAACAUGAUGAGCUGCUGCCAUCUGCUGGAAACACACCUUCACUCGCCUGCAACCUUACAAAGUGAAAGGAACUUAAAGCUUCUGUUCAGAGCACGAGUCAGGAACGAUCUUACACAUGCUGCUAUUAUUCAAGCAGAGGGGGCUAAAGUCAUCUGUAAAGCUUCUAGCCUGGAUCCAAUGCAUUUCUGCUGAGAGCCUCAUUGCUUCUGCAUGCUUUUCUUUACCGUCACGCAGUAAUGUCCAGAACACAACAGCAAAAGUUUGAACAUUUAUCACCAAUUGCCUGCAGAGAAUGAGAGCAAUAAUCAGCUCUGCCACUGCACACAGAUGUUUGUACCUCAGUUUCAGGAAGGACUUUAAUGACGAGACUGCAGUGCAAAGAAACCUCAACAGAAGCUGUUUUCUGUUACAGAACACUGUUUCUCUGAAACACGCCUGACAAUGAAUUCAAACGAGCCCACUGGAUGUUUAAGAAGUCAAGGUACAGAAUCACCAAGUAUGUUUGCAUAUACAAGGAAUUUAUUCUGGUGACAGAAGCUUCCAGUACACAGAGACAACAACAAUACACAGAUUUGUUUAGACUUUAAAUAUGCUGUUUGUUAAUAAAGAUAAUAUCUAUUUUAAAAUUAGUUUCGAGUUUUUCGGAGAUGUGAGCUCCAGAGUGUCAGCGGCCGUUCAGCAAUCAUGAACCCACAGAGAGUGCCUCACCUCGGCCAGAUCUGCUGGAAUUUACCACUGGUUCGGGUGUCUCUAUAGUGGUUAAACAUAUAAUUUGUUUAUAUUGAAAGAGACUGAAACAGGGUGUUAAGGAAGUUAUUUUUACUUUUAAUAACAGCUUGUAAGAGGCAGUUAAUCACCCUUAACAGAUGAAAGGAUAGUACGACAAAGAUAUCGCUUUCCUCAGCGGACAUUCAGACUAAUGUUUUAUAUAUGAGAAUGAGCUAAAGAAAUACAGAAUGCUGUAUCAGAUGCAGGUGAUCACACUCUCAGUCAAUCUCUCUCUCAUAAUAUUCUGCUCCACAUAAUACACAGCUUUCAGUGAAGCAACCCAACAUUCCUUCGUUAUUAGUUCUAAAGUGAUG
Long non-coding RNA from Cyprinus carpio (common carp), 1804 nucleotides. RefSeq lists it as uncharacterized. NCBI's taxonomy places the organism in Eukaryota, Metazoa, Chordata, Actinopteri, Cypriniformes, Cyprinidae. The record is from RefSeq and is a predicted model, not a curated record.